This 200-nucleotide ribosomal RNA is filed under the name uncultured bacterium. Its description in RNAcentral is "partial 16S ribosomal RNA". It matches the Rfam family "Bacterial small subunit ribosomal RNA", at positions 524 to 723 of the family's 1533-position model. The record is from RNAcentral.
UACGGAGGGUGCAAGCGUUAAUCGGAAUUACUGGGCGUAAAGCGCGCGUAGGCGGCUACAUAAGUUGGAAGUGAAAGCCCCGGGCUCAACCUGGGAACUGCUUUCAAAACUGUGUGGCUUGAGUACAGCAGAGGAUAGUGGAAUUUCUAGUGUAGCGGUGAAAUGCGUAGAGAUUGGAAGGAACAUCAGUGGCGAAGGCG